UACGUAGGGGGCUAGCGUUGUCCGGAAUCAUUGGGCGUAAAGAGCGCGUAGGCGGCCAGAUAAGUCCGGUGUGAAAGUCACAGGCUCAACCUGUGAAUGCCGCUGGAAACUGUCUGGCUAGAGUCCGGAAGGGGCGAGUGGAAUUCCUGGUGUAGCGGUGAAAUGCGCAGAUAUCAGGAGGAACACCAAUGGCGAAGGCAGCCCGCUGGAACGGUACUGACGCUGUGGCGCGAAAGCGUGGGGAGCGAACAGG
Molecule: ribosomal RNA, 253 nt
Filed under: uncultured bacterium
Lineage: Bacteria
Description: partial 16S ribosomal RNA
Rfam family: Bacterial small subunit ribosomal RNA
Source: RNAcentral